Molecule: ribosomal RNA, 393 nt
Filed under: uncultured bacterium
Lineage: Bacteria
Description: partial 16S ribosomal RNA
Rfam family: Bacterial small subunit ribosomal RNA
Source: RNAcentral
AUACGUAGGGGGCAAGCGUUAUCCGGAUUUAUUGGGUUUAAAGGGAGCGUAGGCGGGAAGUCAAGUCAGCUGUGAAAUGUAGGCGCUCCACGCCUGCACUGCAGUUGAUACUGGCGUGCUGGAGUACGGAUGCCGUUGGAGGAAUGAGUGGGGUAGCGGUGAAAUGCUUAGAUAUCACUCAGAACACCAAUUGCGAAGGCAUCUGACGAAUCCGUCACUGACGCUGAGGCACGAAAGCGUGGGGAUAGAACAGGAUUAGAUACCCUGGUAUUCCACGCCGUAAACGAUGAUGACUAACCGUCGGCGAUAGACAGCCGGUGGCCAAGCGAAAGCGAUAAGUCAUCCACCUGGGGAGUACGUCGGCAACGAUGAAACUCAAAGGAAUUGACGGAG